GCAGGAAAUUCCGGAAUGGAUUCUAGGAUCAGUCGUCAAUGAGGAGUCCCUGAACCAGAGCCAGGAAUACACUGAGAAAAAUACUGCGGAGCGAGGAAAGAAGGGAGAGAAGUUCGUACGAGAAAGAUAAUAUUGGAAGGUAGGGUCGUGGACUUUUGUUGGUGUUAACUGAAUAUUCUAUCACCCUCUAGUUUAUCUGCCAAUCUCAUUCUUUGGAUGGAACUUUGAGGGGUUGGGAUAGAGCUAGGAUUUGAGCAAACUGAAUUGAGGGGUUGGCGGCUGUGGCGGAAGGUUAAGGAUCUAGGGAGCCUAAAAGAGAGAAACACUGACUGGAGCUCUGGAUUCGGGGUGUGUAUUCACAAGGUCACUAAGGAAUCCUGGGUCUAAAGCCCUUUCCCGAGGUUCCCUUCACUCCAACUUCUAAAGACUGCCGCCACCUCCGCACCUCUCCCCACUGCGGACUUUCUGCUCUUUCAGGCUUUCUGCUCCCUCUGCUGGCGGUUCUGGCACUUGACACCAUCUUGGAGUCCGGGAAAAUGCAGGCACGAUGGAGCUAAAGAAGCUUUGACAGAUCUCCCACCACCACCACCACCACAACCACGAAAACCCAGUUAGGAUCCCGGAGACGGGGAUGUACGAGCCCAAUGAAAUGGAGGGCACACUUGCGAGGCUGUUAAUGCCUAGCGGUUGUGCCUGACGAGGGGUGCCCUGUCCCUUUGGAUUUGUGUUGCCAUAGUGACUGUAUUCAGGGAUGGGGGCAGCUAUUUCAGUCUCUGGUCUUUCUGAUAAAGAAGAGAAAGCAUGAUGGCGGAAAGGAGACCCUUCCCUUUAAUGUCAUCUCUCAGACAGACCUCCCACAUCCUAGCUAUGUCUCCAAGGACUACUUUUUUAAGUCUGGAAGGUCAGUGGUCCUACAGUUCUAUCUGAGAAUCAAGGGGGAAAAGAAAAGGUGAAGCUAGGGGCAGGCCAGAGGUCCUACAACAGGGUAGUGAUUCUGGGGGUGGGGACGUAUAGGGAACACUGUUUGAGUCUGCCUCCCCACAUGACUGACUCAAACCACUUACACAUAGAAGGUCAUGGACCUUCACCCUGCACCCAAUUCAGUCAGGCUGACCAAUGGUCAUUGAAAAAAGAAGGGACACAACAUAUGCUCCCUUCCCAGAUGCCUGCCCCUUCUUCAGAGGAGCUCUUUUAGAACACACUAUAGAUCAGCAAUUCUUAAACUUUUUUAUGUUUUAAGACCUCUCUAUGCUCUUCAAAAUUAUUGAGCUUUUUUUUUUGCAUGAGAUCUAGAUCUAUCAAUUUAUCAUAUUAGAAAUUAAAACAAAAAAUUAUAACACAAGAAUACACAAGUUCACAUUCCAUUAAGAAUAAUGUUAGAAAGAUGAUGUAAUUGCUUGAAACACUCUGGAAAACUCCAUUGUACGA
This 1428-nucleotide long non-coding RNA is filed under the name Marmota monax (woodchuck). Lineage: Eukaryota; Metazoa; Chordata; Mammalia; Rodentia; Sciuridae. The record is from RNAcentral.